UUGAGCGGAGAUAUAUGGAGCUUGCUUUAUAUAACUUAGCAGCGAACGGGUGAGUAACACGUAGAUAAUCUAUCCUAUACUGGGGGAUAGCCCGAUGAAAGUUGGAUUAAUACCGCAUAUAGCUAUAUAGUUGCAUGAUUAUGUAGUGAAAGAUUUAUUGGUAUAGGAGGAGUCUGCGGCACAUUAGCUAGUAGGUGAGGUAAAGGCUUACCUAGGCGACGAUGUGUAGCCGGUCUGAGAGGAUGAACGGCCACAAUGGAACUGAGACACGGUCCAUACUCCUACGGGAGGCAGCAGUGGGGAAUAUUGCACAAUGGGGGAAACCCUGAUGCAGCAACGCCGCGUGAGUGAAGAAGGUUUUCGGAUUGUAAAGCUCUGUUAGCAGGGAAGAGGAAGGACGGUACCUGCAGAGGAAGCCACGGCUAACUACGUGCCAGCAGCCGCGGUAAUACGUAGGUGGCAAGCGUUGUUCGGAAUAACUGGGCGUAAAGGAUGCGUAGGCGGUUAAACAAGUUAUAUGUUAAAUAUAUAGGCUUAACCUGUAGAAAGCAUAUAAAACUGUUUAACUAGAGUGCAGGAGAGGUAAGUGGAAUUCCUAGUGUAGCGGUGAAAUGCGUAGAGAUUAGGAAGAACACCAGUGGCGAAGGCGACUUACUGGACUGUAACUGACGCUGAGGCAUGAGAGCAUGGGGAGCAAACAGGAUUAGAUACCCUGGUAGUCCAUGCUGUAAACGAUGGGUACUAGGUGUGGGUUGUGAAU
RNAcentral lists this ribosomal RNA (760 nucleotides) under uncultured bacterium. RNAcentral's name for it is "bacterial SSU rRNA". It matches the Rfam family "Bacterial small subunit ribosomal RNA", at positions 62 to 834 of the family's 1533-position model. The record is from RNAcentral.